GAUGAAGAAGGCAGCGAAAUGCGAUAAGUAAUGUGAAUUGCAGAAUUCAGUGAAUCAUCGAAUCUUUGAACGUACAUUGCGCCCCUUGGUAUUCCGAGGGGCAUGCCUGUUCGAGCGUCAUUAUAACCCCUCAAGCUCAGCUUGGUGUUGGGGCCUGCUGCACUGGCAGCCCUUAAAAUCAGUGGCGGCGCCAUCUGGCUCUAAGCGUAGUAAUUCUUCUCGCUAUGGAGUCCUGGUGGAUGCUUGCCAUCAACCCCCAAUUUUUCUAUGGUUGACCUCGGAUCAGGUAGGGAUACCCGCUGAACUUAAGCAUAUCAAUAAGCGGAGGA
This 329-nucleotide unclassified non-coding RNA is filed under the name soil metagenome. RNAcentral's name for it is "partial contains 5.8S ribosomal RNA, internal transcribed spacer 2, and large subunit ribosomal RNA". The stretch from base 1 to 120 matches the Rfam family "5.8S ribosomal RNA", at positions 35 to 154 of the family's 154-position model. The record is from RNAcentral.